RNAcentral lists this long non-coding RNA (364 nucleotides) under Capsella rubella. RNAcentral describes it as "long non-coding RNA (CRUB_LNC003892)". The record is from RNAcentral. Lineage: Eukaryota; Viridiplantae; Streptophyta; Magnoliopsida; Brassicales; Brassicaceae.
UUUUUGGUAGGAAUAACAAUAUUAUUAGAUCAAUGAGAGGAUUAAACUAUAAACACAAAAUAGCGUAGAUGCUAACUGAAACGACAAUAAUAUAGAUUGUAUGGCUAUCUUAAAUCAUAAGGAGGCAUCAAAAUUGACAGCUAUGUAGCACAAUACAUAAAAAGUGUACUAAUAAUUAUAUUUAUCUAAAUCAGUAUUAAUUCCUAUUCUAUUGGUAUUUGGUAAUCAUAUUUUGUCGUGCGUGCAAGGAUUGACUCAUGUACAAUAGUUUUCCUAAAAAAAAAAAACUUUAAGAAAAUAUCAUAUUUGAACUUUGCUUAUCCAAGUCUUGAAUCAAUUGAGCAUAAGAGGUUGGUACCUCUCC